GUCGUAACAAGGUUUCCGUAGGUGAACCUGCGGAAAGAUCAUUCGCACAAUGUCCAAACACUUCCAUGUGAAUUCCUAUGCGAGCGUCUGCGCGCGGAUUCUGUCCUCGCGCUGGUGCUCGCGGGUAGUGGGGCGAGGCUCCGAUGUGCGGUUUCUCGUUCCUGCUACCGCCACCUCCUUCGGGGGGUGUCCGCAUUGCGAUUUUUGACCGCAAUUUCUUUCUCGCGCCGUGAGCCAUUUCAACUCACAACUUUCAGCGAUUCGAACAACGAUGAAGGGCGCAGCGAAGUGCGAUAAGCAUCGUGAAUUGCAGGUUUCCGUGAGCUGGCAGGAACUUGAACGCAUAUUGUGCUUCUGGGAUAUCCCCGAAAGCAUGCCUUCUUCAAUGUCUGUGCUUUGUCGUUCCAGCGGUCGGCGCUCCAUGCGGGGCACGCUGCUGCGAUUGCUCGUGUCUCAAGAUGUGCAUUGUUGGCGCUCCUGAGGCAUUUGAUUGAAAAGGCUUCGCUUCGACUGCCAGCUCAUUGAGCAUCCCAUAUGCACUCUAAGCUGUGUUGUCGGCGCGUGCGCUUUGCAAUCCUACGCUUGGGCCCAGCCUAAGCUCUCAAGACAUGAAGUGAGGUCGGCAAACCCGCUGAAUUUAAGCGUAUAAGUAAGCGGAGGAUAAGAAACUAAAUAGGAAUCCUUAGUAAUGGCGGAUGAACAGGGAUGAGCUCAACAUGGAAAUCAAAGCUUCUGGCUUUGAAUUGUAAUCUCGAGAUGUAUUGCUCACGGGGGCGCAGGUGUAAUCCUCUUGGAAAAGAAACUCAGAGAGGGUGAGAGACCCGUCUGUCAACUGCAGUCCUCCGUGUACGGCAUGCUUUCUAAGAGUCACGUUCCUCGGGAUUGGAGCGCAAAUUGGGUGGUAAAUUUCAUCUGAAGCUAAAUAUGGGUUCGAAACCGAUAGCAAACAAGUACCAUGAGGGAAAGACGAAAAGGACUUUGAAAAGAAAGUUAAAAGUGCCUGAACUUGCUGAAAGGAAAGCGGAUGGAACCAAUCUUACUCGGCAAGAUUGUCGUAUGCUUCAGUGAUUGCCUCCUGUAUUAACGCAAGUGGUGCAUGAGGUUACGAUCUGGCUGUGUGCGAUAUUUCUUGCCUUGUAUGUCAUUGCCAGUGUGUUGGUGGGGAUAACUCCAGGGGCAUGGUCGUUCGCCUGCGGGUGCUCGAAUAUUCCUGGUAGGAAUGAAAGCGAUUACUGAAAUUUUUGCAUCAACAGCCGACCGAUCAAUUGGGAGAGGUUUGAGCAUGAGUGUUAGGACCCGAAAGAUGGUGAACUAUGCGUGA
Molecule: ribosomal RNA, 1321 nt
Filed under: Gymnodinium smaydae
Lineage: Eukaryota; Dinophyceae; Gymnodiniales; Gymnodiniaceae
Description: eukaryotic LSU rRNA
Rfam family: Eukaryotic large subunit ribosomal RNA (bases 605-1321)
Source: RNAcentral